This is a long non-coding RNA of Lycium barbarum (goji berry), 962 nucleotides long. RefSeq lists it as uncharacterized. The record is from RefSeq and is a predicted model, not a curated record. The transcript has 2 exons. NCBI's taxonomy places the organism in Eukaryota, Viridiplantae, Streptophyta, Magnoliopsida, Solanales, Solanaceae.
UCUUUUAAAGCAAGGACCGGUUGAUAUUUUAAAAAGAGCAAAAAGAAUAAAAGGACAAUCCUUUUAUUCCCUCAGAAAAGCAUAAAAACUUGAUUGACGGAAUAUUUUCUUAGAAAUGUCUGGACCACUGGAACACUUGAAGAGUUGACUACAUGGGGAUUCAAGAAAUUUGCUCUUUCCCUUUUUAAUGUCUUAAUAAUUUUUUAUUGUGCUUUUCUUGCUAACAAAGACUUGACGUAUUGCAAAGGAAGAUAGCUAAAUAGAACUUGCAAAACACAAAUUAGCUUCUUGUUUAUUUUUUCUAUGAUACCAACUUGGAAGCAAUUUCUUCAAUGUUUUUAUCUGAACUUCCUCCUUCAUCAACAGCAUUUCUAGCCAAUUCCUUCCAUUUCUUUACAUUUUCCCUAAUAACUUUUCCUUUCUCUUCUUCCAUCACUAGUUUUAUAUAUUCUUCAAUAACCUCUCUUCUAACUAUCCCUUUUUCGUCUUGUUUGGCUCUAAUACCCAUUUCCCAAACAUCUUGCACAAGCUUUGCAAUACACAAGAAGUCACUUUGAGCUAAUUAAUCCACGUUGACACAUUGUCGAAUGUAUCAAAUGUGAAACUCGUCAGUAUAUGAAUGCUCUAAAUGACAACUACAAGUUCAACACUUCAAGUUAUCACCUCAAUCAAGGAAAUGAAGAGAUUGACAGGCUUUACAGAUUAAUUAGUUCCCAAGGAAGGAAUGGAUCAUAAACUAUGCAAUUCACAGGGCACUCACAAUUUGUCAAUUUUUGAAUAAGCUGAGUCAGAGUAUCCGAGCCAACUUCUUUGAAUCGCGUUAUGUAGGCCAAGAAAGAUUCUGCUUGGUCGAUGCCACCAUCGUCAUAUCCAUCGGAUAUGGCCUCAAUUGACACUGAAGUUGGUAAUUCUUGCAUGGUUUUCAAGAAUGAUUUUGUUGGUGCUAUAGUGAUUUUGACACC